RNAcentral lists this ribosomal RNA (300 nucleotides) under uncultured bacterium. RNAcentral's name for it is "bacterial SSU rRNA". It matches the Rfam family "Bacterial small subunit ribosomal RNA", at positions 337 to 634 of the family's 1533-position model. The record is from RNAcentral.
GCCUACGGGAGGCAGCAGUGAGGAAUAUUGGUCAAUGGGCGGGAGCCUGAACCAGCCAAGUCGCGUGAGGGAAGACGGUCCUAUGGAUUGUAAACCUCUUUAGGCGGGGAGCAAUGUCGGGCACGCGUGCCCGGAGGGAGAGUACCCGCAGAAUAAGCAUCGGCUAACUCCGUGCCAGCAGCCGCGGUAAUACGGAGGAUGCGAGCGUUAUCCGGAUUUAUUGGGUUUAACGGGUGCGUAGGCGGAUUUUUAAGUCAGCGGUAAAAUGUCCGGGCUCAACCCGGGUCGGCAAUUGAAACU